GACGAACGCUGGCGGCGUGCUUAACACAUGCAAGUCGAACGGAAAGGCCCUGCUUUUGUGGGGUGCUCGAGUGGCGAACGGGUGAGUAACACGUGCGUAACCUGCCCUUGACUUUGGGAUAACUUCAGGAAACUGGGGCUAAUACCGGAUAGGAGCUCCUUCUGCAUGGUGGGGGUUGGAAAGUUUCGGCGGUUGGGGAUGGACUCGCGGCUUAUCAGCUUGUUGGUGGGGUAGUGGCUUACCAAGGCAUUGACGGGUAGCCGGCCUGAGAGGGUGACCGGCCACAUUGGGACUGAGAUACGGCCCAGACUCCUACGGGAGGCAGCAGUGGGGAAUAGUGCACAAUGGGCGGAAGCCUGAUGCAGCAACGCCGCGUGCGGGAUGACGGCCUUCGGGUUGUAAACCGCUUUCGCCUGUGACGAAGCGUGAGUGACGGUAAUGGGUAAAGAAGCACCGGCUAACUACGUG
RNAcentral lists this ribosomal RNA (468 nucleotides) under uncultured bacterium. RNAcentral's name for it is "partial 16S ribosomal RNA". It matches the Rfam family "Bacterial small subunit ribosomal RNA", at positions 28 to 507 of the family's 1533-position model. The record is from RNAcentral.